This is a long non-coding RNA of Myzus persicae (green peach aphid), 1103 nucleotides long. RefSeq lists it as uncharacterized. Lineage: Eukaryota; Metazoa; Arthropoda; Insecta; Hemiptera; Aphididae. The record is from RefSeq and is a predicted model, not a curated record. The transcript is spliced from 5 exons.
AUACAAAACUUUACUGAUAAUUAAUACAUACCAUUACUAAAAUACCUAUUAUGGAAGAGAAUAAAUAAGUAAUUAUUUUAUAUUUAGUCUUGCUGCAUACGAUGACUUUACUAUUUAAAAACAUCAGUAAAGAUUCGUAAGGUUGUUGAGGUGCUUCGUUGCAGAAAUCAAAUUGUCACUAUUUACGUAAAAUUACACAAUUACUGAGAUUGAUAUGGAGUCUAAGGUUUCUAUCAAAGUUAAGUGGUAAAUACUAAAUAGACAAGUAAACUACGAUUAUUAUAAUAUUUAUCUUACUUAUAUCAUUCGACACAAAAUAAUAAUGUCAUACACUUUUCAUUUUGUAUCCUUAAAAUGUUCGUGCCACCGAAAACGAUUCAUCAAGGUAUUUUUUAUUCAGUUGAAAAUGUUUAACAAAUACAGAUGAGAUAUUCAAACUUAUCGACUUAUUACUGUAUGCUGAUGAAGGAAAUACACCUAGAAGGUAAUUGGCAACAAAAAUAAAUCCAGUUGCUUGAAAAAUAGAUAAAAAAAAACCGUUCAAUUAAAAAAACAGAGGAGACUUCAUAAACAUGGUCGGAAUAUAAACUCGGUGUCCUUACUAAAUGUUAUUUAACAGCGUAGAAGACCUUUCAAAAUUGGCCCAGAGUCUUCAGAAAAAACAAAACGGAUUUCAUUUGAAUUCAAAACACAAAAGAAACUACAGGGGUGGAUAAUACAGAACGAAAUGUCCCUGUUCGAUGUUAAUCUCAUAAAUGUACAAGACAAAUUGGCCAAACAAAAUGGCCCAGUCGGUGUCUUCUUAAUUAAAAACAUUUCAUUUGAAUUCAAAAUACAAAACAUACUACACCAAUGUGGUUUGAAUAGAACCAAAUGUCAAUGUUCUAUGUUUAUCUCAUAAACAUAUGAAAAAAUCAUCCACUUUAUGAAAAGAAAUUAAGUAAUUUAAUACAAUGUCAACUCACAGUUAAACAGCUACAAUAAAGUUACAUGAAGUCCUAAGAAGCAGCAAAGUAUUGUUAAUUAUUGCCUAAGGUCCGGCCAAACUACAGACUGACAUUGUUGAUUGACAAUUUACUCAUAUCCAGAUUCAAUCGUUUUUU